UACGUAGGGGGCAAGCGUUAUCCGGAUUUACUGGGUGUAAAGGGAGCGUAGACGGCAGGGCAAGUCUGGAGUGAAAGGCAGGGGCCCAACCCCUGGACUGCUCUGGAAACUGUCCGGCUGGAGUGCAGGAGAGGUAAGUGGAAUUCCUAGUGUAGCGGUGAAAUGCGUAGAUAUUAGGAGGAACACCAGUAGCGAAGGCGGCUUACUGGACUGUAACUGACGUUGAGGCUCGAAAGCGUGGGGAGCAAACAGG
RNAcentral lists this ribosomal RNA (253 nucleotides) under uncultured bacterium. RNAcentral describes it as "partial 16S ribosomal RNA". It matches the Rfam family "Bacterial small subunit ribosomal RNA", at positions 524 to 776 of the family's 1533-position model. The record is from RNAcentral.